UAUGGACCUAUAAAUCAGAUUCAGAAGGGAUAAGUGCUGGAUUUUUUCACAGUUGUGCUCUUAAAAAUGUUUUCUCCAAACACAGCACACGUGAAUGGCUUAGAAGAGGAGAUCUGUCUGUAACGACUGUCACUGAACAACUCUGCCCUUAGGUCUGCAGCUACAGCAGGGGAUUGGACUAUUCCUACAAAGACAUUCUAAGCAAGAAAAGAGCCACCCAACAAACCCUAUGUUCUGAAAAGUGCUGUUCCACUGCGUAAAGGUCACAGACUACAGCCACAGAUUCUGCUGCUACAGAAAGAGGCAAAAGAACGCUGAACUGCAGUAAGGGAAAUGCAGACUGGGGGAAGCCUUUCUUCCUCAAAUCUUUCUGAAUCCCAAAAGCAUAGGAUUUCAUUAUUGCCACCACUUAAUACAGAAUGACCCGCAGCACCAACAUGGCAAUCAAUUCUAUGGGCCUGCUUACCGUAAAUGUGAGGUCCCCUUCCUGCUGUGCAUUAAAGCUUCCCACUGCAAUGCAUUCUUUAACAUCAGGAUCAUCCAAGUUAUCCCCAUCUUCCUCAUCUGCUUCUUCACUUUCUUCUUCCUCACUGCUUUCACCAUUGUCAUCAGCACCCUCAUCCUCUUCUUUAUCUUUGUGUUCUCUCCGAGAAUCUUUCAGACUCCCCUUGUUCCUACCCAAAAUAAAUCAAACUUUUUAUUCACUUUUUAAUUUUAUAUAUAUAUAUAUAUUUUAAUUGCUGUUAAAGCCUUACAACACGGGCUUCCCUGUGUUAUCCAGAAAUCUCUUUGUAGACUCUGGCCUGACCUGAAAUGGUUUUUCAUCCCUAAGAAUACAGACCACAGUACAACCUACGUUAUAUCUCAGCCAUUAAACAAAAUCCUCGGAAAACUGCA
Non-coding RNA from Coturnix japonica (Japanese quail), 897 nucleotides. The record is from RefSeq and is a predicted model, not a curated record. Lineage: Eukaryota; Metazoa; Chordata; Aves; Galliformes; Phasianidae.